AUUUAUCUAGUAUACUAGUACAUUUGACUUCCAAUCAAAAAGUUUAAUAAAUUAAGAUAAAUA
This 63-nucleotide transfer RNA is filed under the name Paramastax nigra. RNAcentral describes it as "tRNA-Gly". The record is from RNAcentral. Lineage: Eukaryota; Metazoa; Arthropoda; Insecta; Orthoptera; Eumastacidae.